This 405-nucleotide ribosomal RNA is filed under the name uncultured eukaryote. RNAcentral describes it as "eukaryotic LSU rRNA". It matches the Rfam family "Eukaryotic large subunit ribosomal RNA", at positions 2345 to 2759 of the family's 3401-position model. The record is from RNAcentral.
ACAGUGAGAAUCUAACGAACCCACAGCCAAGGGAACGGGCUUGGCAAAAUCAGCGGGAAAGAAGACCCUGUUGAGCUUUGAAGAAGAGUGACUUUGUGACAUGGCAAUUGGGAUAUAGUGUAGGUGGGAGAUCCGUCAACAAUGUAACACCACUACUCAGUUCGUCAUUUUACUAAUUCCGUGAAGCAGAGAUCCUUCGGGAAUUCUGGUACUAAGGUUCGCAAGAACUGAUCUGGGCGGAAGACAGAGUCAUCCGAUUUUCUUGUCUGGGGCGGAACAUCUGUUAAACGAUAACGCAGGUGUCCUAAGGCGAGCUCAAAGAGAACAGAAAUCUCUUGUAGACCAAAAAGGGGAAAAAGCUCGCUUGAUUUUUGAUUUUUCAGUACAAAUACAAACUGUGAAAGC